CGGAUCUCGAAAGCCUGUCCCAGUUCGGACUGGAGUCUGCAACCCGACUCCACGAAGUUGGAUUCGCUAGUAAUCGCGCAUCAGCCAUGGCGCGGUGAAUACCGUUCCCGGGCCUUGUACACACCGCCCGUCAAGCCAUGGGAGCCGGGGGGCGCCUGAAGUCCGGGACCGCGAGGACCGGCCUAGGGCGAAACUGGUAACUGGGGCUAAGUCGUAACAAGGUAUC
RNAcentral lists this ribosomal RNA (226 nucleotides) under uncultured bacterium. RNAcentral's name for it is "partial 16S ribosomal RNA". It matches the Rfam family "Bacterial small subunit ribosomal RNA", at positions 1268 to 1500 of the family's 1533-position model. The record is from RNAcentral.